Molecule: non-coding RNA, 739 nt
Organism: Myodes glareolus (Bank vole)
Lineage: Eukaryota; Metazoa; Chordata; Mammalia; Rodentia; Cricetidae
Source: RefSeq, a predicted model, not a curated record
UACAAGUGCAGAGGAACGACAAGCAAGAUGAAGCCUCCUACUGUGAUCCUACUGAUGGUGAUGUCCCUGUUGCUGAUCCAGGCCAAUGAACAAAUAUUGUGGGCCAUAGCAAAAGCAUGGCCAAUUCCUAUACCUGUUCAUUCUACGUCAAAAACUGGCUGAGAAUUUUACACAGAACGGUAACCUGAGCUGGCAGCUGAGCGAAUACCUCCAGGGAAAGUGGAUGAGAACCUGACGGACACCUUGACCAACCAGAUCAUUUCCCUGAACGUCACACGGCUGGAAUUACCUACUGCUAAUGCCUUUCUCAAUAUGCUGAAAUGGACUUUUAGUUAUUUUAAGGAGUAGGCAGGAAUAGGAGCCCUGACAGGCCUAAGGGUGCUUGCCUCCCUGGUAUGUCUGUGGUGCAUUUGUCACAUGAGAACCUCACAACGUCACAAUGCAGCCCUGAUCAUACAAGCCUUCAUGGCUAUUGAAGCAGGACAGUCCCCUCAAGCUUGGUUAACUACUUUAAAAGAGAUGUAAGCACAGGAUGCGAGGCUUGCGCACUGCACUUGAGGGUAAUUACAUCUACCUCAAGGGGAGCAAGUCUGAUUGCAUGUGAGUCAGUGCCUAUGUCCCACCUCUGUAAAAAAGGGCACCAAGCGGGUCUAGUGUUUUCUGGGUGGAGGACACCUGGAUAGACAAUAGUACAUGCUUCAUUUUUGACAGAGAUCAGACCUCUACUCUCGCUUGCUGC